AUUGAACGCUGGCGGCAUGCCUAACACAUGCAAGUCGAACGGUUGUUGGCUGCUUGGUGCUUGCAUCAGCGGCGGACGGGUGAUUACUGCCGGGUAAUCUGCACGGGAGUAGGCUACCACUUCGAGAGAGGUGCCACUAUACCACAUGUGCUAUGAGGGAGAAAGAGGGUGUGCUUCGGACCUCACGAUUGCAGAUGACCUUAGGGCGGAUUAGCUAGUUGGUGGGGUAAAGGCUCACCAAGGCGACGAUGCGUAGCUGGUCUGAGAGGAUGAUCGGUCACACUGGGACUGAGACACGGCCCAGACUCCUACGGGAGGCAGCAGUGGGGAAUCUUGGACAAUGGGCGAAAGCCUGAUCCAGCAAUGCCGCGUGAGUGAAGAAGGUCUUCGGAUUGUAAAGCGCUUUUGUUAGGGAAGAACGGGAGCUGGUUAAUACCAAGGUCUUUUGACGGUACCGAAAGAAUAAGCACCGGCUAACUACGUG
This 484-nucleotide ribosomal RNA is filed under the name uncultured bacterium. RNAcentral's name for it is "partial 16S ribosomal RNA". It matches the Rfam family "Bacterial small subunit ribosomal RNA", at positions 30 to 507 of the family's 1533-position model. The record is from RNAcentral.